Molecule: long non-coding RNA, 375 nt
Organism: Oxyura jamaicensis (ruddy duck)
Lineage: Eukaryota; Metazoa; Chordata; Aves; Anseriformes; Anatidae
Exons: 3
Source: RefSeq, a predicted model, not a curated record
UGUAACUCCUGAGCUCCUCCAAAGCACUGAGCUGGCUGCAAUGAUGAGGAUGAUGAUAGCAACAGUGAUGUGUGGCAGGUGAGGGUGGGCCCUACCCUGGGAAGUGUUAAAAACACUGCCCUCUCAUUCCCAAGCUGCCCUUUGUUGUUGGAGGUGCUAUGCACAUUGAAGAGGGUAUUCAGGAUCUGGUCAAGGUGGGAAGACAGCACAGUCCAAAUGUUGGCCUGAGCACCCCACAUAGCCCUGCAAAGAGAAAAGGGCCUGUCCAGAUUAAACCAGGUUUUACUCCAUUAUGAAUUCUCAAGCAAAUCAAGAGCAAGUGAAGAUACAAUAGAAAAGGAAGCAGUACUAGGACCACUGCUCAGGGAGUCAGAC